Molecule: long non-coding RNA, 390 nt
Filed under: Salmo salar (Atlantic salmon)
Lineage: Eukaryota; Metazoa; Chordata; Actinopteri; Salmoniformes; Salmonidae
Description: lncRNA (ENSSSAG00000121250.1)
Source: RNAcentral
GAAAUAAGUCACCCAGGACAAAUGCAACGACUAAUAAUAUCCAGACAUGUCUAGCUAGUCCUCUCUGAUGUUCAGUAUGAAUACUGUUUAACUUAGAUAGAAAUGAACUUAUAUUGCCUAAUUGGUUUGAGUCUAAAGGGGGUGAGAGAAGGAGGGUUAUGAUGAGACCAAUAACUCACUGAGUGAAUCUGUCCCUCUCAAGACUGCCAUCACUCCAUCAGCAUGCAAUAACGCUGGACUCAAUUCCAGGUUCUCUACCCCUAUGUUGUGUUGACCUGUGACUCCCUAACAUUAUCUCUGAUUGGUGGAGCUGCUGUGUGUAUGGGAUUGAACAGGAAGUGCGUUGAGCGAAGAAUGAUUUCAGAAAUGUAACGAGGUCAGAGAUCUUUU